GAUGAAGAACGCAGCGAAAUGCGAUCCUUGGUGUGAAUUGCAGAAUCCCGUGAACCAUCGAGUCUUUGAACGCAAGUUGCGCCCGAAGCCAUUAGGCCGAGGGCACGCCUGCCUGGGCGUCACACGUCGUUGCCCCCCCAUCUACUCCUUCGGGAUUGCGGGGGGCGGAUGAUGGCCUCCCGUGCGCCUCGUCGCGCGGUUGGCAUAAAUGCCAGGUCCUCGGCGACGCACGCCACGACAAUCGGUGGUUGCGAAACCUCGGUUGCCCGUCGUGUGCGGUCGUCGCGCAUCGAGGGCUCGAAAAAAUUGCCGGGCUCCGGCUCGGCUUUCAACGCGACCCCAGGUCAGGCGGGGUUACCCGCUGAAUUUAAGCAUAUCAAUAAGCGGAGGA
Molecule: unclassified non-coding RNA, 391 nt
Filed under: soil metagenome
Description: partial contains 5.8S ribosomal RNA, internal transcribed spacer 2, and large subunit ribosomal RNA
Rfam family: 5.8S ribosomal RNA (bases 1-122)
Source: RNAcentral